This 91-nucleotide transfer RNA is filed under the name Varibaculum cambriense. RNAcentral describes it as "tRNA-Leu". It matches the Rfam family "tRNA". Rfam says of the family: Transfer RNA (tRNA) molecules are approximately 80 nucleotides in length. Their secondary structure includes four short double-helical elements and three loops (D, anti-codon, and T loops). Further hydrogen bonds mediate the characteristic L-shaped molecular structure. tRNAs have two regions of fundamental functional importance: the anti-codon, which is responsible for specific mRNA codon recognition, and the 3' end, to which the tRNAs corresponding amino acid is attached (by aminoacyl-tRNA synthetases). tRNAs cope with the degeneracy of the genetic code in two manners: having more than one tRNA (with a specific anti-codon) for a particular amino acid; and 'wobble' base-pairing, i.e. permitting non-standard base-pairing at the 3rd anti-codon position. The record is from RNAcentral. Lineage: Bacteria; Bacillati; Actinomycetota; Actinomycetes; Actinomycetales; Actinomycetaceae.
GCGCGGGUGGCGGAAUCGGUAGACGCGCUAGCUUGAGGUGCUAGUGGCCAACUUAACGGCCGUGAGGGUUCAAGUCCCUUCCCGCGCACCG